Molecule: unclassified non-coding RNA, 387 nt
Filed under: soil metagenome
Description: partial contains 5.8S ribosomal RNA, internal transcribed spacer 2, and large subunit ribosomal RNA
Rfam family: 5.8S ribosomal RNA (bases 1-120)
Source: RNAcentral
GAUGAAGAACGCAGCGAAAUGCGAUAAGUAAUGUGAAUUGCAGAAUUCAGUGAAUCAUCGAAUCUUUGAACGCACCUUGCGCUCCUUGGUAUUCCGAGGAGCAUGCCUGUUUGAGUGUCAUGAAAUUCUCAACCUUUUCAGCUUUCUUUGUUGAUCAGGCUUGGAUGUGGGAGUAUGCGGGCUUCUCAGAAGUCGGCUCUCCUAAAAUGCAUUAGCGGGACCUUUGUUGCCUGGCUUUGGUGUGAUAAUUAUCUACGCCAUUGUAGUCAAGCAGCUUAAAAUGAGGUUUCAGCUUCUAACCGUCUCCCCUGAGACAACUUUUUGACAAUUUGACCUCAAAUCAGGUAGGACUACCCGCUGAACUUAAGCAUAUCAAUAAGCGGAGGA